AAAAGUGAUGGUGUACAUUUUUAUACUUUUCCUAAUCGACCAUGGGAAUUGGAACGAAGGAAAUAUUGGAUAAGUGUUGUCCGUCGUAACACUUCAGACGGUAAGCCAUGGAAGCCAAGUAAAAAUUCAAGAAUUUGCAGUCUACAUUUUUGCGGAGGUGAAAAGUCUAACAAUCCUGCAAAUGAUGCAUACAAUCCAACAAUCUUCCCGUCCGUCUACAAAACGAGAAAAUAUUCAAAUUCAAAAAGAGCGGAGAGAUUAACAGCGAGAAGAAAGAGAUUGCAGGAAGUCACUGCUGGUUUCACACCGCUUAAUAAUUUUUCUUGGACAAACGAGGCAGGAAUCUCCACUGAAACCAUGGACUCA
Long non-coding RNA from Venturia canescens, 366 nucleotides. RefSeq lists it as uncharacterized. NCBI's taxonomy places the organism in Eukaryota, Metazoa, Arthropoda, Insecta, Hymenoptera, Ichneumonidae. The record is from RefSeq and is a predicted model, not a curated record. The transcript has 3 exons.